RNAcentral lists this ribosomal RNA (211 nucleotides) under uncultured fungus. RNAcentral describes it as "partial small subunit ribosomal RNA". The stretch from base 44 to 211 matches the Rfam family "Eukaryotic small subunit ribosomal RNA", at positions 698 to 864 of the family's 1831-position model. The record is from RNAcentral. Lineage: Eukaryota; Fungi.
GACUUGGAUCGGUUGACCCUACUCGGUUACGAGUUGUGUGUCGAUCUGUUAUCCUGUCAUCCUUGUAUGUUUUUUUUUAUUAAAAAGCAUGCAUCGUUUACUUUGAACAAAUUAGAGUGUUUCAAGCAGGCAGUUAUCGCUUUGAAUACAUUAGCAUGGAAUAAUCGUUUAGGGCUUCGGUUCUAUUUCGUUGGUUUCGAGAGCUGAAGUA